This is a small nuclear RNA of Mastomys coucha (southern multimammate mouse), 105 nucleotides long. Lineage: Eukaryota; Metazoa; Chordata; Mammalia; Rodentia; Muridae. The record is from RefSeq and is a predicted model, not a curated record.
UCUCGCUUAGACGGCACAUAUCCUAAAAUUGGAACGAUAUAGAGAAGAUUAGCAGGGCCCUUGCGCAACAAUGACACGCAAAUUUGUAAUUCGUUCUAUUCAAAA